GAUGAACGCUGGCGGCGUGCCUAAUACAUGCAAGUCGAGCGAACAGAUAAGGAGCUUGCUCCUUUGACGUUAGCGGCGGACGGGUGAGUAACACGUGGGUAACCUACCUAUAAGACUGGGAUAACUUCGGGAAACCGGAGCUAAUACCGGAUAACAUUUGGAACCGCAUGGUUCUAAAGUGAAAGAUGGUUUUGCUAUCACUUAUAGAUGGACCCGCGCCGUAUUAGCUAGUUGGUAAGGUAACGGCUUACCAAGGCAACGAUACGUAGCCGACCUGAGAGGGUGAUCGGCCACACUGGAACUGAGACACGGUCCAGACUCCUACGGGAGGCAGCAGUAGGGAAUCUUCCGCAAUGGGCGAAAGCCUGACGGAGCAACGCCGCGUGAGUGAUGAAGGGUUUCGGCUCGUAAAACUCUGUUAUUAGGGAGGAACAAACGUGUAAGUAACUGUGCACGUCUUGACGGUACCUAAUCAGAAAGCCACGGCUAACUACGUG
RNAcentral lists this ribosomal RNA (497 nucleotides) under uncultured bacterium. RNAcentral describes it as "partial 16S ribosomal RNA". It matches the Rfam family "Bacterial small subunit ribosomal RNA", at positions 28 to 507 of the family's 1533-position model. The record is from RNAcentral.